Molecule: long non-coding RNA, 459 nt
Organism: Anolis sagrei ordinatus
Lineage: Eukaryota; Metazoa; Chordata; Lepidosauria; Squamata; Anolidae
Source: RefSeq, a predicted model, not a curated record
UUUAUUGUAGGAUGAAUUCUGCUGCCUCAAUGAUACUCUUUUGGAUAUGCGCUUGCACAUUGAGUCAGAUAUGGAGCAGACUGGAGGACUGGGGAUAAGACUUGCAUCAUGUACAUAGCAGGAAACUCCUACAUUCUGAAGUGAAUUGACUGAUAAGGGCUUGGGUGAUGCAGUGCAAGAGUCCAUGGAGUCAACUUGCUAUGGCAUUGAAGCAAAGAGGCAUAGAAAGGAAGACUAACCAAGAAAAUGGUAGAAGAAUCUGGCUACAGCUCCAGGGCCUUUUGACUAUCUGGCACUUUCAAAAGUAUUGUGUAAGUCUCCUUGUUGGCGGUCCUGGUGUCCUUCACUGCACAAUAUAGGGGAGGAAGUUUAGUUUGGGCAGCGGCACCAAGGAAGAUCCAUGGCUCAAAGUCUUAAAGGCUUUGCCAUAAAAAUCCAGAAUAUCUGCUUUGAACUGGA